RNAcentral lists this ribosomal RNA (637 nucleotides) under uncultured bacterium. Its description in RNAcentral is "bacterial SSU rRNA". It matches the Rfam family "Bacterial small subunit ribosomal RNA", at positions 202 to 842 of the family's 1533-position model. The record is from RNAcentral.
UAAAGAUUCAUCGCUGAUAGACAGGCAUGCGUUCCAUUAGGCAGUUGGCGGGGUAACGGCCCACCAAACCGACGAUGGAUAGGGGUUCUGAGAGGAAGGUCCCCCACAUUGGUACUGAGACACGGACCAAACUCCUACGGGAGGCAGCAGUGAGGAAUAUUGGUCAAUGGGCGUAAGCCUGAACCAGCCAAGUCGCGUGAGGGAUGAAGGUUCUAUGGAUCGUAAACCUCUUUUAUAAGGGAAUAAAGUGCGGGACGUGUCCCGUUUUGUAUGUACCUUAUGAAUAAGGAUCGGCUAACUCCGUGCCAGCAGCCGCGGUAAUACGGAGGAUCCGAGCGUUAUCCGGAUUUAUUGGGUUUAAAGGGUGCGUAGGCGGCCUUUUAAGUCAGCGGUGAAAGUCUGUGGCUCAACCAUAGAAUUGCCGUUGAAACUGGGAGGCUUGAGUAUGUUUGAGGCAGGCGGAAUGCGUGGUGUAGCGGUGAAAUGCUUAGAUAUCACGCAGAACCCCGAUUGCGAAGGCAGCCUGCCAAGCCAUGACUGACGCUGAUGCACGAAAGCGUGGGGAUCAAACAGGAUUAGAUACCCUGGUAGUCCACGCAGUAAACGAUGAUCACUAGCUGUUUGCGAUACACAGUAA